UGAACGCUGGCGGCGUGCCUACUACAUGCAAGUCGAGCGAACGGACGCGAAGCUUGCUUCUCUGAUGUUAGCGGCGGACGGGUGAGUAACACGUGGAUAACCUACCUAUAAGACUGGGAUAACUUCGGGAAACCGUAGCUAAUACCGGAUAAUAUUUUGAACCGCAUGGUUCAAAAGUGAAAGACGGUCUUGCUGUCACUUAUAGAUGGAUCCGCGCUGCAUUAGCUAGUUGGUAAGGUAACGGCUUACCAAGGCAACGAUGCAUAGCCGACCUGAGAGGGUGAUCGGCCACACUGGAACUGAGACACGGUCCAGACUCCUACGGGAGGCAGCAGUAGGGAAUCUUCCGCAAUGGGCGAAAGCCUGACGGAGCAACGCCGCGUGAGUGAUGAAGGUCUUCGGAUCGUAAAACUCUGUUAUUAGGGAAGAACAUAUGUGUAAGUAACUGUGCACAUCUUGACGGUACCUAAUCAGAAAGCCACGGCUAACUACGUG
RNAcentral lists this ribosomal RNA (495 nucleotides) under uncultured bacterium. RNAcentral's name for it is "partial 16S ribosomal RNA". It matches the Rfam family "Bacterial small subunit ribosomal RNA", at positions 30 to 507 of the family's 1533-position model. The record is from RNAcentral.